UUUUGACAACAGGGCUGUGAAUUGGAAAGACAAGUAUGCACUUCAGCUGUAUGGAUGUAUGUAAUAAUAUAAAAAGUAUAAAUAUUGUUAAAAUUCCAAAACUAAUGCUGAAAGGACUGAGGGUUAUUUUAAAAACAAACUUUAUUUUGGUAACAGUUUUAGACUUGCAGAAAUGUUGCAGAGAGGUGCACAGAGUUCUCGUAACCUUAGAACAGAUUCUCUUAUUACUAACAUCUUAACACUAGCAGGAUUCAUUUAUUACGAUUAAGGAAACAAUACUGAUAUAUUGUUAUUAACUAAAGUCAAUACUAUAUUAAAAUUUAUUAAAUUCUUACCUCAUGUCUUUUUUUCUGUCCCAGCAUACAUCCUAGAGUACCACAUUACAUUUAGUCAUCAUGUCUCCUAAGGCUCCUCUUGUGACACUUUCUCAUACUUGCCUUCUUAUUAUUGAUGACCUUGAUAGUUUUGAGAAAUACUGAUUAGGUAUUUUGUAAAAUGUCCCUCUUUUGAGGACUGUUUGCUGUGUUUCUCAUAAUUAGACUGGAGUUAUGGAUUUUUGGGGGAAGGCCCUUUGAGGUAAAGUGCCAUGUCUGUGACAUCAUAUCAAGGGUACAUAAUGCCACCAGGACUUGUCAAUAUUGGUGUUGUCCUUGAUCAUCUAGCUAAAAGUGUAUUUGUCUGGUUUCUCCAACUACGAAAUUCUUACCUCUAACCCCACCCCCUUCAUACUGUACUCCUUGGAACAAAGUCACUAUGCCAACACUUACGGAGUUGAGAGAAUUGAUAGGGUGGAAAUCUAGAGGCACCAUAUGAUGUCCUUCUGAAGAAAAGUUCAGGGGGUCAUGAAACCCAGGCUUUAUACCCCCAGAAAACUGCCAAGUGUAUGGAUUCUCCUUCACCAGGGGGCCAGGUGAUUCUUGAAGGAAUCACAAAGAGAAUACUUUGAGAUGGGAAAAAAAUCUCAGAAAAUUUGUCAUUUUUGUAAGAUGCUGAUCUCCUGAAUAUUUCUCCAAGCGACCCAGACAUGUGUCCGAUCUAAAUAAGGAGGCAUCUUCAGAAAUUCUUCACAAACACCCCCAAGAAAUCAUAAAGUGAGGGUCUGUGACCUUUGCCUUUGCAAAGAAAAAUAUGUAGAUCUUCCCACUGACCGAAGAAUGAAAAUCUCAUUAAAAACUUGUUUCAGAGAGAUUGGAGCAGGGAGCAGAUGUCAGUAGAACUACCAAAUUGUAUGUUCCUUUUGUUACAUGAAUGUAGUUAUUUAAAAUAAAAUGUUGAUGCUAUUAUAACAUGA
Neofelis nebulosa (Clouded leopard) is the source of this 1291-nucleotide long non-coding RNA. RefSeq lists it as uncharacterized. The transcript has 4 exons. NCBI's taxonomy places the organism in Eukaryota, Metazoa, Chordata, Mammalia, Carnivora, Felidae. The record is from RefSeq and is a predicted model, not a curated record.